UACGUAGGGGGCAAGCGUUGUCCGGAUUUACUGGGCGUAAAGAGCGCGCAGGCGGUCGGAUAAGUCGGAUGUGAAAGCCCCCGGCUCAACUGGGGAGGGUCAUUCGAUACUGUUCGACUCGAAGGCAGGAGAGGGAAGUGGAAUUCCCGGUGUAGUGGUGAAAUGCGUAGAUAUCGGGAGGAACACCAGUGGCGAAGGCGACUUCCUGGCCUGUUCUUGACGCUGAGGCGCGAAAGCUAGGGGAGCAAACGGG
Molecule: ribosomal RNA, 253 nt
Filed under: uncultured bacterium
Lineage: Bacteria
Description: partial 16S ribosomal RNA
Rfam family: Bacterial small subunit ribosomal RNA
Source: RNAcentral